RNAcentral lists this transfer RNA (97 nucleotides) under Armillaria borealis. RNAcentral describes it as "tRNA-Gly". Lineage: Eukaryota; Fungi; Basidiomycota; Agaricomycetes; Agaricales; Physalacriaceae. The record is from RNAcentral.
ACGCCCACGGUGAAAUGGUUAUCAUGCUUGCCUUCCAUCUGCUCAGAAGGAAGUAUACUUCCAUCAAGCGGUAGGGGUUCAACUCCCCGAAGGCGUA